This is a long non-coding RNA of Chenopodium quinoa (quinoa), 2051 nucleotides long. RefSeq lists it as uncharacterized. The transcript has 3 exons. NCBI's taxonomy places the organism in Eukaryota, Viridiplantae, Streptophyta, Magnoliopsida, Caryophyllales, Amaranthaceae. The record is from RefSeq and is a predicted model, not a curated record.
GUUGAUAACUCAAGGGAACAAUCUUAUCUUCACACUACCCCACUAACAAUUUGAAUUAACUGCAUUAACUUCCCACAAUCCCACCUACUUAUUGUAUAAACAACCAUGCCUCUUCUUUUUCCACUCCUAAAUACUUCCUAACUUCUUGCAAUUUCUCUCUCCGAAAUAUACCCUAAUUGAUUUCUUGAGUUCCUUCGGUGCCUCAAGCUUUGGGCGAAACUUGCAGAUUCCGACCGAUUUCGUCAGGUAAUUCAUUUGGGUUUUUAGAAAGAGGGGAAAGUAAGGUUAUAAGAGACAUAGUUGGCAAUGAUGAUCCACCAAGCGACUUUGUAAAGGAGGAUGUGGCCUCUUUUGUAGCUUUAGUUGGGAUGCCUAGGAGUGUGGUGGUGUACGUUCCUAUUGAGAAGGAGAGGCCUGAAGAUUUUCCACCAAGGCAUAUAGUGUUAUACUAGUAUCCUUUCAGGCUGGGAUACACCUAUUUGUUUACCCCUAUGUCAUGAUCUUUCAUGGAGGUUCAGGAUCUAACACCUGGGCAUUCUGCUUUGGUUGAGAGGGCAUAAAAGGUGAAUGUUCGCGGCUGGAAGUCGCGUUAUUUGUUUGUUGAUAGGGAGUUGCUAGAAUAAGAUGCCAGCUAGAUUCGUUGUGGUUGGCGCAACGGAGGUAUUUUUCAUAUCUUUUAUCACUCUUUACUUCGGAUUUUUAACGUGUUAUCUUAAGGCUUGUUUUGGUUUAGAGAUCGACAUUAUCAUUGAGACUCCUAGGAAGAAGGGUUUGUGCAAGGUGGAAUAUGUUUUAAGCGUUGCUAAAGAGGAUCAAACCUUCGUAUGACCUGCUGUAGUAGAAGAAGUUUAGGAAGAAAUGGCGUCUGAGACUCAAUCUGGGAAGACUAAGAAAACUGUGAUGUCCAAUGAGGAGAUGGUAGAGCGUGUAAUGUAGAAGAAAAAACGAGUUGCUUCUAACGCCGCAAAUGUUAAGGUUUUGGACAUCAAACCUCUCUAGAUGAGAAUUUUUCCUUAAGCUAAAGAGAUUCCCUCUAAGGUACCCAAAGAAUCGGACUAUGUAAAAAGAGUUCUUGCUGACUUUCUCUUGGGUGCGUCUAUGUCGCUCUCCCUUUGGCCUUCUGCUGAGAAAUUUUUGUUUCUAGGUCUUGAGAAGAGUUAGGGCAAAUGGUGCCUACUAACAUAGUUAGUGAAGCGGUUGUGUCGCUCAAACUCAAUGCUUUGCAGGAUUUGUUGGAAGUACACAGGCACUUCAAUUUUCGAGAGAAAGAGAUUAAGGGACUUCGUGCGACGAUCGUCACUAUCAUAAGCCAACUCAAAACUGCAGAAGGAAAGGUGACCAAGCUGAAAAGAAGGCCUUGGAAGAGAAGAGUAAGGAAUUUUUUGAUCUAAGUGCUUCCUUAGAGCAGAAGGAGAAAAAUGUCACUGAAUUACAGGACUUUGUGAAGGAGAAAGAGAAACAAGUUUCUUUGUUAGAGGCUUCUAUAUCUAAAGUUCGUGAGGAUACUGAGAACUCCAAGUGUCUUGAUUAGCUAACUAUUUGUGCCAAGUUUUUGAGGCGUUUCUUGCUAGUCGCCGACCACUGAAGAUGCUUAAAUGGAGGUGAAUGUCUUUUUGGCAUCCUUUAAUACUGAAGUUAAUCUAGCCUCUGAUGUUGAGGUUGCUAGAGAAGACAUCCAUUUUACUACGGACUCAUAGGAGAAGGUUGAUAGUACAGCCCCCUAAUGCUAAGAGUGUUGAUGCUACUGUCGCGAUUACGCCUGAGGUUGCUUCUAGGGUCGACGCUUAUGCUGAUGAUGGAGUUAAUGUUGAUGACGCUUGACUUUUGUUUUCUCUACCUUUUGUUGUACAGUUGAAUUUCCUUUUGCCUUGAACUGCUUAUGUUGUUAUGCACUCUUUACUAAUCAUUGUGGGACGAUUAGGUUUGUUUCCUAUUUUUGAAGUACUUUGAACAAUUUCUUAGCACUGUAAUUUUAACUAUUUGGCAUGGGAUAAUUAGUCCUUUUGCGAAAAUAUUGUAAAAAUAUUUAUGCCAUAAAUAUAUAAAAAUAU